AUUGAACGCUAGCGGGAUGCUUUACACAUGCAAGUCGAACGGCAGCGCGGACUUCGGUCUGUCGGCGAGUGGCGAACGGGUGAGUAAUGUAUCGGAACGUGCCCAUUAGCGGGGGAUAACUACGCGAAAGCGUAGCUUAUACCGCAUACGCCCUCCGGGGGAAAGCGGGGGAUCGUAAGACCUUUCACUAUUGGAGCGGCCUAUAUCGGAUUAGCUAGUUGGUGAGGUAAUGGCUGACCAAGGCGGCGACCCGUAGCAGGUUUGAGAGGAGGACCAGCCACGAGGGGACUGAGGCACGGCCCAGGACUGUGCGGGAGGCAGCAGUGGGGAAUUUUGGAGCAUGGGGGAAUACUUGAUCCAGGGCUCCAGCGUGAGGGAUGGAGGCCUUCGGGUUGAAGAACGCUUUUGGCAGGAAAGAAACGUUGCGGGCUAAUGACGCGUGGAACUGACGGUACCUGCAGAAUAAGCACCGGCUAACUACGUG
This 484-nucleotide ribosomal RNA is filed under the name uncultured bacterium. RNAcentral describes it as "partial 16S ribosomal RNA". It matches the Rfam family "Bacterial small subunit ribosomal RNA", at positions 29 to 507 of the family's 1533-position model. The record is from RNAcentral.